GAUGAACGCUAGCGGCAGGCCUAACACAUGCAAGUCGAGGGGCAGCGGGAGUAGCAAUACUUUGCCGGCGACCGGCGCACGGGUGCGUAACGCGUAUGUGACCUACCUAUAACAGGGGGAUAACCCAGAGAAAUUUGGACUAAUACCCCAUAUUAUUAUUGAGCUGCAUGGUAGAAGUAUCAAAGCUCUGGCGGUACAGGAUGGACCCGCGUCUGAUUAGCUAGUUGGUAAGGUAACGGCUUACCAAGGCGACGAUCAGUAGCCGACCUGAGAGGGUGAUCGGCCACAUUGGAACUGAGACACGGUCCAAACUCCUACGGGAGGCAGCAGUGGGGAAUAUUGCACAAUGGGCGAAAGCCUGAUGCAGCAACGCCGCGUGAGCGAUGAAGGCCUUCGGGUCGUAAAGCUCUGUCCUCAAGGAAGAUAAUGACGGUACUUGAGGAGGAAGCCCCGGCUAACUACGUG
This 465-nucleotide ribosomal RNA is filed under the name uncultured bacterium. Its description in RNAcentral is "bacterial SSU rRNA". It matches the Rfam family "Bacterial small subunit ribosomal RNA", at positions 28 to 507 of the family's 1533-position model. The record is from RNAcentral.